This 492-nucleotide ribosomal RNA is filed under the name uncultured bacterium. RNAcentral describes it as "partial 16S ribosomal RNA". It matches the Rfam family "Bacterial small subunit ribosomal RNA", at positions 29 to 507 of the family's 1533-position model. The record is from RNAcentral.
AGUGAACGCUGGCGGUAGGCCUAACACAUGCAAGUCGAACGGCAGCACAGUAAGAGCUUGCUCUUACGGGUGGCGAGUGGCGGACGGGUGAGGAAUACAUCGGAAUCUACUUUUUCGUGGGGGAUAACCUAGGGAAACUUACGCUAAUACCGCAUACGACCUACGGGUGAAAGCAGGGGAUCUUCGGACCUUUCGCGAUUGAAUGAGCCGAUGUCGGAUUAGCUAGUUGGCGGGGUAAAGGCCCACCAAGGCGACGAUCCGUAGCUGGUCUGAGAGGAUGAUCAGCCACACUGGAACUGAGACACGGUCCAGACUCCUACGGGAGGCAGCAGUGGGGAAUAUUGGACAAUGGGCGCAAGCCUGAUCCAGCCAUACCGCGUGGGUGAAGAAGGCCUUCGGGUUGUAAAGCCCUGUUGUUGGGAAAGAAAAACAGCAGGUUAAUCCCCCGCUGUUCUGACGGUACCCAAAGAAUAAGCACCGGCUAACUUCGUG